This is a long non-coding RNA of Magnolia sinica, 291 nucleotides long. RefSeq lists it as uncharacterized. The transcript is spliced from 2 exons. Lineage: Eukaryota; Viridiplantae; Streptophyta; Magnoliopsida; Magnoliales; Magnoliaceae. The record is from RefSeq and is a predicted model, not a curated record.
UCCCGAUGACUCUCUCUCUCUCUCCCUCUCCCGACGACUCUCUCUCUCUCUCUCUCUCUCUCUCUCUCUCUCUCUCUCUCUCUCUCUCUCUCUCUCUCUCUCUCUCUCUCGCGGGACUCUCAGCUUCUUCCUACCCCUGACUCUCUCUCUCUCUCGCGCGAGCUGUCAUUAAUUGUAGGGCUUAGAUGAAGAUCUGAAACAGUUUUUUUAUCUGAAUUCUGUUGGAUUUUGUGACGGGUGGAGUUUUUCAAUCUGAAUUCUGUUCGAUUUGCAGUUUUAUAACCCAUUAGG